RNAcentral lists this ribosomal RNA (253 nucleotides) under uncultured bacterium. RNAcentral describes it as "partial 16S ribosomal RNA". It matches the Rfam family "Bacterial small subunit ribosomal RNA", at positions 524 to 776 of the family's 1533-position model. The record is from RNAcentral.
UACAGAGGGGGCAAGCGUUGUUCGGAAUUACUGGGCGUAAAGGGCGCGUAGGCGGCCUUCUAAGUCGAACGUGAAAUCCCCGGGCUCAACCCGGGAACUGCGUCCGAUACUGGAAGGCUUGAAUCCGGGAGAGGAAUGUGGAAUUCCAGGUGUAGCGGUGAAAUGCGUAGAUAUCUGGAGGAACACCGGUGGCGAAGGCGACAUCCUGGACCGGUAUUGACGCUGAGGCGCGAAAGCCAGGGGAGCAAACGGG